This 434-nucleotide ribosomal RNA is filed under the name Lactobacillus helveticus. RNAcentral's name for it is "bacterial SSU rRNA". It matches the Rfam family "Bacterial small subunit ribosomal RNA", at positions 61 to 469 of the family's 1533-position model. The record is from RNAcentral. Lineage: Bacteria; Bacillati; Bacillota; Bacilli; Lactobacillales; Lactobacillaceae.
GUCGAGCGAGCAGAACCAGCAGAUUUACUUCGGUAAUGACGCUGGGGACGCGAGCGGCGGAUGGGUGAGUAACACGUGGGGAACCUGCCCCAUAGUCUGGGAUACCACUUGGAAACAGGUGCUAAUACCGGAUAAGAAAGCAGAUCGCAUGAUCAGCUUAUAAAAGGCGGCGUAAGCUGUCGCUAUGGGAUGGCCCCGCGGUGCAUUAGCUAGUUGGUAAGGUAACGGCUUACCAAGGCAAUGAUGCAUAGCCGAGUUGAGAGACUGAUCGGCCACAUUGGGACUGAGACACGGCCCAAACUCCUACGGGAGGCAGCAGUAGGGAAUCUUCCACAAUGGACGCAAGUCUGAUGGAGCAACGCCGCGUGAGUGAAGAAGGUUUUCGGAUCGUAAAGCUCUGUUGUUGGUGAAGAAGGAUAGAGGCAGUAACUGGC